GAAAAAUUUAAGCAAACCUGUUUGCUUCUUAUAUGUUUUAUUAUCAACACAUAAACACACUUUUUAAAAAUUAAUUGUUAUUGAUUUUAUUUUUGAAUCUUGUUGAUGUGUUCAAAAAAUAACUAAUAAUGAUUUAGAAAGUCUUUAUUCGCAGAAGUGACAGAAUUUCAUCAAUAGUUUAUUGAUCUUCUCUGAUAAUAUUUCUAUUUUGUGAACAUGGCAUACAUAACAUUUCAGAAUGCAAUUAACUCAGAUGAAAUGACACAUAUUUCCAUAUGUUGGACAGAGCAAACUUUCACAAGGAUGUUUAUUAUGGUAACAUGAUUUUAUUGAGAAACAGAAAAGGUGUUGAAAAGUAUGCUUUUUUUGUAGCAUAAAAUGUCCCAGGGGAGCAGUUGCAGGUAAGUGCAAUUAGAUUUUAGAGGGGUGUGAAGAGAACAGCUCUAACUCAAAAUGACUUUUCAGAUUAGUUAUUGAUAGAUGACUAUGGAAAGCCUAAGAACUGAUGACAAAUUGCCAAUCAUCCUAGAAUAUAAUUUAACUGAGUUAUUAAACACAUAUAUACAAGAUUUCCAAAGGCAAUCAGCUGCCUUUUCUCUUAUCGUAAAAAACAGUAUUGAAAGUGAAAUCAAAUUAAAUAAUAUUUGCCCAAAAUAGAGAGGAGAUUUGGGUUUCUUCAUUAAUUUCUGUGCACCAGCCUCCUGUUCCUUUACUAACUCCAUAAGCAUUAAUGUUAAAAAGAAACAAAAAAACAUGUAUUCAACAGUCUUGAAACUAAAAUUUUAAAUGAGAAGGUCAAUGUUAAUAUUAGGCAAAACAAAAUUAAUUGGAUACAUUUUGAUUGAACAUGUAAUGAUUAGUGUGCUUCAGAGUAAUCGGGCAUAAAUAAUAAGUACUUUUGUAAAUGUUUGCUUACUAUUAUUAUUUUUCUUACUUUAGUGGUAUGUUUUGCUGUGAUCUGACAUUUUUGCUCAUAUAUACUCCACACAG
RNAcentral lists this long non-coding RNA (990 nucleotides) under Bos taurus (domestic cattle). RNAcentral's name for it is "long non-coding RNA NONBTAT000186". Lineage: Eukaryota; Metazoa; Chordata; Mammalia; Artiodactyla; Bovidae. The record is from RNAcentral.